AUUCGCGGCCUAUCAGCUUGUUGGUGAGGUGAUGGCUUACCAAGGCUUCGACGGGUAGCCGGCCUGAGAGGGCGACCGGCCACAUUGGGACUGAGAUACGGCCCAAACUCCUACGGGAGGCAGCAGUGGGGAAUAUUGCACAAUGGACGGAAGUCUGAUGCAGCAACGCCGCGUGCGGGAUGACGGCCUUCGGGUUGUAAACCGCUUUCAUCCAUGACGAAGCUUUUGUGACGGUAGUGGGUAAAGAAGCACCGGCUAACUACGUGCCAGCAGCCGCGGUGAUACGUAGGGUGCGAGCGUUGUCCGGAUUUAUUGGGCGUAAAGAGCUUGUAGGCGGUUUGUCGCGUCGGGAGUGAAAACUCGGAGCUUAACUUUGAGCUUGCUUCGAUACGGGCUGACUUGAGGGAGGUAGGGGAGAAUGGAAUUCCUGGUGGAGCGGUGGAAUGCGCAGAUAUCAGGAGGAACACCGGUGGCGAAGGCGGUUCUCUGGACCUUUCCUGACGCUGAGAAGCGAAAGCGUGGGGAGCGAACAGGCUUAGAUACCCUGGUAGUCCACGCCGUAAACGGUGGGUACUAGGUGUGGGGGACAUUCCACGUUCUCCGUGCCGUAGCUAACGCAUUAAGUACCCCGCCUGGGGAGUACGGAAU
Molecule: ribosomal RNA, 648 nt
Filed under: uncultured bacterium
Lineage: Bacteria
Description: bacterial SSU rRNA
Rfam family: Bacterial small subunit ribosomal RNA
Source: RNAcentral